UCAUUUGAAACUCUUUGUUAUUUACCUUCACAGCAGAAAGACAGCUCUAUCACAAGUAACAGACAUGGAAUAAGCAGGAUUUUGUAACCCCGGAGGUGGACUACUUUAUACCUGCAGCACAUGACACACAAUGGAGCUGAAAGGAAAUGCUUCUCAUGCUCUUUCGGGUGAUAAUGACAGUGAAAGGAUUGACCCCUAUGGCUUUGAGAGACGUCAGGAUUUUGAACCCUACAAGGAGAUGAUGACAGAAUAUGUAGCAGUGCUAAACAGAAGGUCAAUGAGAUGGGACAAACUGCUUCAGGAGAAACCACAUGUGGAGAAAAACCUGACAGUGAAGCGCUACGUGCGUAAAGGUGUGCCUAAUGAGCACCGUGCCAGAAUCUGGAUGGCGGCCAGUGGCGCUCAGGACAGACUGGAGAGAAACCCGGGUUACUACCACGCUCUGCUGAGCAUGGAGCACGACACCAAGCUGAAGGAAACCAUCCACACAGACAUGCACAGGACCUUCCCAGACAACAUCCUCUUCCAGAGCAAAGCAGAACCGAGCCUGCAGAGGGCUCUGUUCAAUGUGCUGCUGGCCUACGGACACCACAAUAAGGAAGUGGGCUACUGUCAGGGCAUGAACUUCAUUGCAGGCUACCUCAUGAUCAUCACCAAAAAUGAAGAGAACUCCUUCUGGCUCAUGGAUGCAUUGUUGGGAAGAAUGCUCCCAGACUUCUACAGCCCGGCCAUGAUGGGCCUGAAGACAGACCAGGAGGUUCUCGGGGAGCUAGUGAAGGCCAAAGCUCCUGCAAUCGGACAACUCAUGGACCAGUUUCCCGGCAUUUGGACACUAGUAGUGUCCCGCUGGUUCAUCUGCCUCUACAUUGACGUACUCCCAAUUGAGACAGUUCUACGGGUCUGGGAUUGUCUCUUCUACGAGGGCUCAAAGGUUCUUUUCCGUGUUGCUCUGACUCUCAUCAUUCACCACCAGCCGGAGAUCCUGCGAGCUCGUUCACUCACGGACGUGUGUGAGUGCUUCAAACAAAUCACCUGCGGAGCUUUCACCCUGGACUGCCACACCUUCAUGCAGAAGAUCUUUACAGAACCUGGGAGCCUGUCGAUGGGAACCAUUAAUAAACUCAGAGAGAAAUGCAGACAGCGGAUACUGGAGGAGGAAUCUGGACGCCGGUAAAAUUUUGGAUCCACCCUUUAUCAGUGGACUACAAAAACCCUUUUAUUCAGUAUCUUGCAUCGAUGACGGGAGAUUCGGACCACUGCGCAAAGUCUUCUCCAGCACAUCCCAAAGAUUCUCAAUGGGGUUCAGGUCUGGACUCUGUGGUGGCCAAUCCAUGUGUGAAAAUGAUGUCUCGUGCUCCCUGAACCACUCUUUCACAAUUUGAGCCCGAUGGAUCCUGGCAUUGUCACCUUGGAACAUGCCCGUGCCAUCAGGGAAGAAAAAAUCCACUGAUGGAAUAACCUGGUCAUUCAGUAUAUUCAGGGAGUCAGCUGACCUCAUUCUUUGGGCACACUGCUGAACCUAGACCAGACCAACUGCAGCAACCCCAGAUCACAGCACUGCCCCCCACAGGCUUGUGACCUUUUUGUUUUGGCCGGGCAGUGUAUACAAUUAUAAUAUAUGUGUAAAACUGGCAGUGUCUAAUGGAAAGCAAAUAUUGAUGUCUUUUGCACUAAAAUACUGUUGAAACUUUCCGAAGUAAAAUGAGAUAUCCUCAUUUACAGAA
RNA transcript from Eleginops maclovinus (Patagonian blennie), 1724 nucleotides. It is a transcript of the gene named growth hormone-regulated TBC protein 1-A-like, with no coding region annotated. The record is from RefSeq and is a predicted model, not a curated record. Lineage: Eukaryota; Metazoa; Chordata; Actinopteri; Perciformes; Eleginopidae. The transcript has 9 exons.